GAUGAAGAACGCAGCGAAAUGCGAUACGUAAUGUGAAUUGCAGAAUUCAGUGAAUCUUCGAAUCUUUGAACGCAUAUUGCGCUCUCUGGUAUUCCGGAGAGCAUGCUUGUUUGAGUAUCAGUAAACACCUCAACUCCCUUUUCUUUUUUGAAAUUGGAGCUGGACUUGAGUGAUCCCAACGCUUUCUUCCAAGAAAGUGGCGGGUUGCUUGAAAUGCAGGUGCAGCUGAACUUUUCUCUGAGCUAUAAGCAUAUCUAUUUAGUCUGCCUAAAAAACAGAUUAUUACCUUUGCUGCAGCUAACAUAAAGGAGACUAGUUCUUGUGCUGACUGAUGCAGGAUUCACAGAGACAGCUUCGGCUGACUUUGUAAACUCGAUCUCAAAUCAAGUAAGACUACCCGCUGAACUUAAGCAUAUCAAUAAGCGGAGGA
RNAcentral lists this unclassified non-coding RNA (430 nucleotides) under soil metagenome. RNAcentral's name for it is "partial contains 5.8S ribosomal RNA, internal transcribed spacer 2, and large subunit ribosomal RNA". The stretch from base 1 to 120 matches the Rfam family "5.8S ribosomal RNA", at positions 35 to 154 of the family's 154-position model. The record is from RNAcentral.